AACAAGGCGUACCUGCGGACCUGCGGAGGGAUCAUUACCGAGUUUACAACUCCCAAACCCAUGUGAACAUACCUAUCGUUGCUUCGGCGGGAUCGCCCCGGGCGCCUCGUGUGCCCCGGAUCCGGCGCCCGCCUAGGAACCUUAACUCUUGUUUUAUUUUGGAAUCUUCUGAGUAGUUUUUACAAAUAAAUAAAAACUUUCAACAACGGAUCU
RNAcentral lists this unclassified non-coding RNA (213 nucleotides) under soil metagenome. RNAcentral's name for it is "partial contains 5.8S ribosomal RNA, internal transcribed spacer 2, and large subunit ribosomal RNA". The record is from RNAcentral.